AAAAGAAGGAGGAUGAUGACUGGCUCCUGAGUGGAGUACCAAAGUUGACAGAAGAGCGAUCUGUGGUCGAUUUAGCUAAAUCGACCUUGGUGUAUUAAUCACUGCAGCGUCAAUUCCUGCAGCUAUGAAAACGUUAACCUAAGACCAUCUACCCCAGGGCAUUGGCAUUGGAUGCACCUGCAACAUCUGUCAACGAGUCUGUGGCUGAAGAAAUGGACUCCUUAGUCACCAAAGGGCCCAUGAAAAAUAAAACCUGUGGAAGAGAUCAUCCUCGAGGGAUUGCAGAUGACUGGGCCCAAUUCAAUGGGACUCCAGAGUUAAAUGUAGCAACCUGUGCAGCCUCUAGAACCCACUCAAGGUUUAGAGGUGAAAUGUCUCUGCUAAAAAAAUAAAUGCAGAACU
This is a long non-coding RNA of Dermochelys coriacea (leatherback sea turtle), 402 nucleotides long. RefSeq lists it as uncharacterized. Lineage: Eukaryota; Metazoa; Chordata; Testudines; Dermochelyidae. The transcript is spliced from 3 exons. The record is from RefSeq and is a predicted model, not a curated record.